RNAcentral lists this long non-coding RNA (2575 nucleotides) under Portunus trituberculatus (swimming crab). RNAcentral describes it as "uncharacterized LOC123507059, transcript variant X2". Lineage: Eukaryota; Metazoa; Arthropoda; Malacostraca; Decapoda; Portunidae. The record is from RNAcentral.
CAGGAUCUUGCUUACUCACGACUUCUACUGACCCACUUGGACGAUGCGGGAGGUUGACUUCAUUACAACUUGCUGGAAUCGACUCGGGUGGCAUGGUGUCUGUUUUAUGAUCAUACUGCAAAUAAGUGAAACAGCUAACCUCUUCAGGAAGACUGCCAUGGCUGAUGAUGGCUUAUUUGGCAGGGUGACAGCACCUGGAUCUCCCCACCCCUAAGUGGAGCCUCCUCAGUGGCACAGAAAUUCACUCCUGACACUCCAAGACCCAGAUGACGACCUCGUCUCCUGCACCAAGACCAGAAUAUCAAGUAUAAUAAUGUCAGAUAAUAAAAUAUACUUUAUAUGAUUAAAAUCUAGGGAAGAUUAAGAGAAAUCAAAUAGUGAGGAUGAUAACAAAAACUCAUUACUAGUCAGAAGGGGAACACAAACAAAAUAGCAGGUGAUUAACUAUGGAUGAUUUUUGUUUCAGAAAUUGACAACAUCAUCCUAAACGUAUUAAAGACCUCUUUGACUAACCAGAAUUAAAUUGAAAUGAUGCUGUGGGAGUGGAAGAAGCAUGAAGAGUUUGUAUUUGAUUUUGUAUGUUCAGGGAUACAGAUUUCAAGCAAUUUGUGAUUCUGUGGUAGUGGGAGGUGAUGGUUUCAGUUCUUCUUUAUCUAUUUGCCAAGUUAGUCCCGUAAUGUGAUGCUCUACUCUGAUAUUUAUCAACUAGUUACACAAUCUCCUGUUUUAAGAUCACUCUUCUCAUACACCAUUAUAUUCAUGCAGAAACUGUGGAAAAAUAGAAGCAGACCCUAACCUCUGGAUGAACUGCUCAAUGUUCAGCAGUGUGAUCUUGGUGAGGACAGGUCCAGAGUGACAGGGGUAGUGAGGGGAGCAGGUCCAAGAGAGAUGAGCAGCCUGUGCUGUGCCCAAGUCCCUGGAGUGCUGCAGUAGGAAGGUGCGGGGUUGCCUAGGUUGAAACUGACUUGAAGACCUGAUAGAAGAAAGAAACUCACUACACAUAACAUCAAACUCUUCUCAUACAGGUACUGUACAUUUAAAUGAAUGCCAUAAGUAAUUACGGUAUUCAUCUGUUUCAUAUAAAGACAGGUAUGUACGUGUAUACAUAUACACAUAUUUCUUCAUGGAGGAGAUGCAUACAAGUAUACAUGUGUAUGUGUAUAAGCAUAAUUAGAAGAAUAUUAUUUUGGUGGUGCAGAAUUAGCAUUAUAGACAAUUAUGGAUGACUUAAGACAGACAGGAUACCAAAAAUACUUAAUAUACAGAAUACUGUACAAGAGUUAUAAAAGAAAAUUACAGACAAUAUUCCAGAAUAGGAAAGGUUUAAAAAAUUAAUGUAAUAUAAGAUUUUUAUCUGAAAAACCAGAAAAAUGUGAAAAUGUGUGGUUAGUAUUUAUAAAUUUAGAAAUAUUAAAUUACAUUCAAGAAGUACGCAUCUUGAUAUGAAGACAUAAAUGCUACUAUUAGCUGAUGACAAGUGAUCUACAUGAUUAUCAUUCAGUUUCCUGCAGUUCGGUGUAUGGAAAUCUAAAUGCCCUGUUCAGCAUGCUAUUAGGCCUAUUUAGCAUCUAUCUUGAUUUAAAGAGCUAAAAGAGUUUCAAAGGAAUGCCAAUGGAGUUGUAAAAUUUCGUGAAAAACAUCUGCAGGUAGACAGGUAAGAACAUUAAUUAAGAAAGGCCUCUUGUAAAACAAUGCUGAGUCAAUAUCUUUUGCCACACAUAUGUGUCCUCUUCCAUCCCCAUGAAAAUACCAAAAAACUGAUCUGAAGAAAGAAAAUAGAUGUAAACCUGAAACAACACAUUGCACAAGUGCCAAUAGUGAUCACCAAAGUGGAUAUCAUUCAGGUGUUCCCAAACCUUUUAGCUCGUUGACCCCCGAAUGAAGUCCCAAAUUUCUAUUGUCCCCUAUCUUUUAAUUCAAGGAAAAUAAUUUUAGUAUAAUGACAAAAUCCAUAUGCAGUAGUAGUAGUAGUAGUAGUAGUAGUAGUAGUAGUAGUAGUAGUAGUAGUAGUAGUAGUAGUAGUAGUAGUAGUAGUAGUAGUAGUAGUAGUAGUUUUUUACAUCAAUGAUGGCUGCCAAAGAAAAAAAUACAUAAUAAAAACAGCCAUUUACCACUCCAUAGAGAAAAACAACUUGGUUUAUCAUAAUCAAAUCAUAAUCUAGAUUAUAAAAUCUACAGAUGGAAGCUUCAAUGGUCCCUUCAACCCCAGCAGUAAUUAAUAUUCACUGUCCUUCCUGGUUACUUUAUUCAUUGACCUUCUUUUGACCCCCUGGAUAUUCAUCAAUGCCCUUUUGACCCUUUGGAUAUUCACUGAUCCCCGGGGGGAUCAAUAUUGACCAUUUUGAGAAUUAGUGAUUUAAGCUAAAAUGUAAAUAAGUAUCCUUGUACAGAGACAGGGAAAUACAUAUUGAAAUAAAAACCUUAAUGUUUAAUUUCUUAUUUGUGGCAUUAACCAAUGAUGUGCAAAGGAAGAGGCCUUUGUACACACUUCAAUUUGUUUCAUGUAUUUGCUUGCACUACUGUAUUAUAACUGAAAACAUGCACGUGAUCUCAAUGAGUAAAAGAUUGAAAAGUU